RNAcentral lists this ribosomal RNA (2904 nucleotides) under Escherichia coli. RNAcentral describes it as "23S ribosomal RNA". It matches the Rfam family "Bacterial large subunit ribosomal RNA". Lineage: Bacteria; Pseudomonadati; Pseudomonadota; Gammaproteobacteria; Enterobacterales; Enterobacteriaceae. The record is from RNAcentral.
GGUUAAGCGACUAAGCGUACACGGUGGAUGCCCUGGCAGUCAGAGGCGAUGAAGGACGUGCUAAUCUGCGAUAAGCGUCGGUAAGGUGAUAUGAACCGUUAUAACCGGCGAUUUCCGAAUGGGGAAACCCAGUGUGAUUCGUCACACUAUCAUUAACUGAAUCCAUAGGUUAAUGAGGCGAACCGGGGAACUGAAACAUCUAAGUACCCCGAGGAAAAGAAAUCAACCGAGAUUCCCCCAGUAGCGGCGAGCGAACGGGGAGCAGCCCAGAGCCUGAAUCAGUGUGUGUGUUAGUGGAAGCGUCUGGAAAGGCGCGCGAUACAGGGUGACAGCCCCGUACACAAAAAUGCACAUACUGUGAGCUCGAUGAGUAGGGCGGGACACGUGGUAUCCUGUCUGAAUAUGGGGGACCAUCCUCCAAGGCUAAAUACUCCUGACUGACCGAUAGUGAACCAGUACCGUGAGGGAAAGGCGAAAAGAACCCCGGCGAGGGGAGUGAAAAAGAACCUGAAACCGUGUACGUACAAGCAGUGGGAGCACAGAGCAAUCUGUGUGACUGCGUACCUUUUGUAUAAUGGGUCAGCGACUUAUAUUCUGUAGCAAGGUUAACCGAAUAGGGGAGCCGAAGGGAAACCGAGUCUUAACUGGGCGUUAAGUUGCAGGGUAUAGACCCGAAACCCGGUGAUCUAGCCAUGGGCAGGUUGAAGGUUGGGUAACACUAACUGGAGGACCGAACCGACUAAUGUUGAAAAAUUAGCGGAUGACUUGUGGCUGGGGGUGAAAGGCCAAUCAAACCGGGAGAUAGCUGGUUCUCCCCGAAAGCUAUUUAGGUAGCGCCUCGUGAAUUCAUCUCCGGGGGUAGAGCACUGUUUCGGCAAGGGGGUCAUCCCGACUUACCAACCCGAUGCAAACUGCGAAUACCGGAGAAUGUUAUCACGGGAGACACACGGCGGGUGCUAACGUCCGUCGUGAAGAGGGAAACAACCCAGACCGCCAGCUAAGGUCCCAAAGUCAUGGUUAAGUGGGAAACGAUGUGGGAAGGCCCAGACAGCCAGGAUGUUGGCUUAGAAGCAGCCAUCAUUUAAAGAAAGCGUAAUAGCUCACUGGUCGAGUCGGCCUGCGCGGAAGAUGUAACGGGGCUAAACCAUGCACCGAAGCUGCGGCAGCGACGCUGAUGCGUUGUUGGGUAGGGGAGCGUUCUGUAAGCCUGUGAAGGUGUACUGUGAGGUAUGCUGGAGGUAUCAGAAGUGCGAAUGCUGACAUAAGUAACGAUAAAGCGGGUGAAAAGCCCGCUCGCCGGAAGACCAAGGGUUCCUGUCCAACGUUAAUCGGGGCAGGGGUGAGUCGACCCCUAAGGCGAGGCCGAAAGGCGUAGUCGAUGGGAAACAGGUUAAUAUUCCUGUACUUGGUGUUACUGCGAAGGGGGGACGGAGAAGGCUAUGUUGGCCGGGCGACGGUUGUCCCGGUUUAAGCGUGUAGGCUGGUUUUCCAGGCAAAUCCGGAAAAUCAAGGCUGAGGCGUGAUGACGAGGCACUACGGUGCUGAAGCAACAAAUGCCCUGCUUCCAGGAAAAGCCUCUAAGCAUCAGGUAACAUCAAAUCGUACCCCAAACCGACACAGGUGGUCAGGUAGAGAAUACCAAGGCGCUUGAGAGAACUCGGGUGAAGGAACUAGGCAAAAUGGUGCCGUAACUUCGGGAGAAGGCACGCUGAUAUGUAGGUGAAGUCCCUCGCGGAUGGAGCUGAAAUCAGUCGAAGAUACCAGCUGGCUGCAACUGUUUAUUAAAAACACAGCACUGUGCAAACACGAAAGUGGACGUAUACGGUGUGACGCCUGCCCGGUGCCGGAAGGUUAAUUGAUGGGGUUAGCGCAAGCGAAGCUCUUGAUCGAAGCCCCGGUAAACGGCGGCCGUAACUAUAACGGUCCUAAGGUAGCGAAAUUCCUUGUCGGGUAAGUUCCGACCUGCACGAAUGGCGUAAUGAUGGCCAGGCUGUCUCCACCCGAGACUCAGUGAAAUUGAACUCGCUGUGAAGAUGCAGUGUACCCGCGGCAAGACGGAAAGACCCCGUGAACCUUUACUAUAGCUUGACACUGAACAUUGAGCCUUGAUGUGUAGGAUAGGUGGGAGGCUUUGAAGUGUGGACGCCAGUCUGCAUGGAGCCGACCUUGAAAUACCACCCUUUAAUGUUUGAUGUUCUAACGUUGACCCGUAAUCCGGGUUGCGGACAGUGUCUGGUGGGUAGUUUGACUGGGGCGGUCUCCUCCUAAAGAGUAACGGAGGAGCACGAAGGUUGGCUAAUCCUGGUCGGACAUCAGGAGGUUAGUGCAAUGGCAUAAGCCAGCUUGACUGCGAGCGUGACGGCGCGAGCAGGUGCGAAAGCAGGUCAUAGUGAUCCGGUGGUUCUGAAUGGAAGGGCCAUCGCUCAACGGAUAAAAGGUACUCCGGGGAUAACAGGCUGAUACCGCCCAAGAGUUCAUAUCGACGGCGGUGUUUGGCACCUCGAUGUCGGCUCAUCACAUCCUGGGGCUGAAGUAGGUCCCAAGGGUAUGGCUGUUCGCCAUUUAAAGUGGUACGCGAGCUGGGUUUAGAACGUCGUGAGACAGUUCGGUCCCUAUCUGCCGUGGGCGCUGGAGAACUGAGGGGGCUGCUCCUAGUACGAGAGGACCGGAGUGGACGCAUCACUGGUGUUCGGGUUGUCAUGCCAAUGGCACUGCCCGGUAGCUAAAUGCGGAAGAGAUAAGUGCUGAAAGCAUCUAAGCACGAAACUUGCCCCGAGAUGAGUUCUCCCUGACUCCUUGAGAGUCCUGAAGGAACGUUGAAGACGACGACGUUGAUAGGCCGGAUGUGUAAGCGCAGCGAUGCGUUGAGCUAACCGGUACUAAUGAACCGUGAGGCUUAACCUU